UUAUUGUUUUCCCAUACCAUAGCUCGACUGAAGCAAUCAUUUCUUCUCUCUUCUUUCCAGUUUGUGACACUCACUAAGCCACUUCCAUUCUUCUAAAGUCUUUAUUCCACUCUCCUACUUAGCCUGUUAAUAUUACCAUUGCUUAAGACUGUUGAAACUUCAUCUUCAUACAUUCAAAUGGCAUCAUCUUGGACCCCAAGGCAAAAUAAACAAUUUGAAAGAGCCCUGGCUAAAUAUGAUAGAGAAACCCCAGAUAGAUGGCAGAAUGUUGCUAACGAGGUGGGAAAAUCGGUUGAGGAGGUUAAAAGGCACUAUGAGAUCCUCAAAGAAGAUAUCAGACGCAUUGAGCGUGGUCAAGUGGCAUUCCCCUACAGAACAAACAAUUCUAACAGUAAUUAAGGCAUUGUGUUGAACAGCACAGGUUAUCGAUCCAGAAUCCAACAAACUUGAAGACUCAUGACGAUUACAAUCACAUCCGCAAUAACUUAACAAAUAAAAGGAAGUACCAUCAGCAGUGAACAAUAUAAAAGUUUAUCUGUAAGCAACCAUGUGAAAGCUAUUGUUAAGAAAAAAUGUAUUAAGUAGAUGUAUUUACAAAUUAAUCGUGUUUAUGAACCAGUACUAAUUAUUAAUAAAGAAUUAGUUAUUUGUCUA
This is a long non-coding RNA of Glycine soja, 654 nucleotides long. RefSeq lists it as uncharacterized. The record is from RefSeq and is a predicted model, not a curated record. NCBI's taxonomy places the organism in Eukaryota, Viridiplantae, Streptophyta, Magnoliopsida, Fabales, Fabaceae. The transcript is spliced from 2 exons.